Molecule: transfer RNA, 73 nt
Filed under: Stegodyphus mimosarum
Lineage: Eukaryota; Metazoa; Arthropoda; Arachnida; Araneae; Eresidae
Rfam family: tRNA
About the family: Transfer RNA (tRNA) molecules are approximately 80 nucleotides in length. Their secondary structure includes four short double-helical elements and three loops (D, anti-codon, and T loops). Further hydrogen bonds mediate the characteristic L-shaped molecular structure. tRNAs have two regions of fundamental functional importance: the anti-codon, which is responsible for specific mRNA codon recognition, and the 3' end, to which the tRNAs corresponding amino acid is attached (by aminoacyl-tRNA synthetases). tRNAs cope with the degeneracy of the genetic code in two manners: having more than one tRNA (with a specific anti-codon) for a particular amino acid; and 'wobble' base-pairing, i.e. permitting non-standard base-pairing at the 3rd anti-codon position.
Source: Rfam by way of RNAcentral
GCCUUCGUGAUGUAGUGGUCAGCACACUCGGUGCGUAUUCGAGAGGUCCGUGGUUCAAGUCCCGGCGAGGGCA